UACAGAGGUCUCAAGCGUUGUUCGGAUUCAUUGGGCGUAAAGGGUGCGUAGGCGGCGCGGUAAGUCGGGUGUGAAAUCUCGGAGCUUAACUCCGAAACUGCAUUCGAUACUGCCGUGCUUGAGGACUGGAGAGGAGGCUGGAAUUUACGGUGUAGCGGUGAAAUGCGUAGAUAUUGGGAGGAACACCAGUGGCGAAGGCGGCUCACUGGACCGGUUCUGACGCUGAGGCGCGAAAGCGUGGGGAGCAAACGGG
This 253-nucleotide ribosomal RNA is filed under the name uncultured bacterium. RNAcentral's name for it is "partial 16S ribosomal RNA". It matches the Rfam family "Bacterial small subunit ribosomal RNA", at positions 524 to 776 of the family's 1533-position model. The record is from RNAcentral.